AUUGAACGCUGGCGGCAUGCCUUACACAUGCAAGUCGAACGGCAGCACGGGAGCAAUCCUGGUGGCGAGUGGCGAACGGGUGAGUAAUAUAUCGGAACGUGCCCAGUCGUGGGGGAUAACGUAGCGAAAGCUACGCUAAUACCGCAUACGAUCUAUGGAUGAAAGCGGGGGAUCGCAAGACCUCGCGCGAUUGGAGCGGCCGAUAUCAGAUUAGGUAGUUGGUGAGGUAAAGGCUCACCAAGCCGACGAUCUGUAGCUGGUCUGAGAGGACGACCAGCCACACUGGGACUGAGACACGGCCCAGACUCCUACGGGAGGGCAGCAGGUGGGGAAUUUUGGACAAGUGGGCGCAAGCCUGAUCCAGCAAUG
This 369-nucleotide ribosomal RNA is filed under the name uncultured bacterium. RNAcentral's name for it is "bacterial SSU rRNA". It matches the Rfam family "Bacterial small subunit ribosomal RNA", at positions 30 to 396 of the family's 1533-position model. The record is from RNAcentral.